GUCUCUUUGAUUCUCCACAUAAAGAGUCUGACCUGCCCAGUGAUUAAAUAUUUAACGGCCGCAGUACCCUGACUGUGCAAAGGUAGCAUAAUAAUUUGCCUUAUAAUUGAUGGCUAGUAUGAAAGGUUUGACGAAAGCAUUUCUGUCUCAAACAUAUUUUUUAUAAUUUAUUCUUUAAGUUUAAAAACUUAAAUAAAAUUAAAGGACGAGAAGACCCUAUCGAGCUUUAAAAAAAAUUAAGAAAAAAUAUAUUAAUAAGAAUUUUUUUCUUAGGGAAAAUUUUUGGUUGGGGCGACCGAGGAACAAAAAAAGCUUCCUCAGAUAAUAUAUAAAUACAAAGAUCCAGCAUAUAACUGCUGAUAGCUGAAAUUAGUUACCGUAGGGAUAACAGCGUUAUUUUUUCUGAGAGACCUUAUCGAAGAAAAAGCUUGCGACCUCGAUGUUGGAUUGAGGUUACUUAAGGGCGCAGAAGUUCUUAUAAGUUAGUCUGUUCGACUAUAAAAAUCUCACAU
This 512-nucleotide ribosomal RNA is filed under the name Cochlostoma henricae. RNAcentral describes it as "partial 16S ribosomal RNA". It matches the Rfam family "Bacterial large subunit ribosomal RNA", at positions 1819 to 2601 of the family's 2925-position model. The record is from RNAcentral. Lineage: Eukaryota; Metazoa; Mollusca; Gastropoda; Architaenioglossa; Cochlostomatidae.